AGUGUCUGCAGGGACAGAAAAUGAAAGGGCUGUAGAAAGAGAAAGCAUACAGUUUGAAAUGGGAUUUAGAAGAGUUUGAUUUUACUCUUAGUUUUAGUGGGAUUUAACUUUACAUGCUAGUAGACAACAACUAGAAUGCUUCCCAUUCUUAUGAUUUAAAGGUUUUUUUUCUAUACAGUUGCUUCUCUGGCAGAAAGGGGGCUUGAAAAGAUACACUGGUCACUUUGAUUUCACGAGUCAGCUUUUCAUACAGUAAGGGAAAAUUACAUCUGUUUGUAAUAUUGAAAUGAUCCUUGGCUGAGUGAAGAAAAAAGUGCUCCAACCUGGAUUGAAGCUGAGGAUGCAGAUCUGAUCUUACAUAUAUCUCUGUUGGAUCUGAGUCAGCUUUAUGUGAAGGCAGCCCUGACCUUGAGGGCCCAAACAACAGGCUGAUUUGAUGAAAGUAAUGCGUCCCUUUAACUUCCCGCAGAAAGAGUUGCUGUGGAAAGUCUUGGCAGAGCUUCUCAAGUGGGUUGCAGUGUGCUGGGAGUGAAAUGCAUAGCUUUGUUAGGUUCAUGUAGCAGAGGCUGUGCAUGACAGAGAGGCAAUGUGUUGGUGCAGUCUGAUUCCUCGCUUGACCUUGCCAAAAGUGAUGCUUGUGCUGUUCAGCACAACAUUAUCAUAGAGUACUUUGGGUUGGAGGGGAUCUUCAUAGGUCAUUAGUCCAAGUCCUCUACAGUGAGCAGGAACAUCUUCAAUUAGAUCAGGUUGCCCAGAAUCACAUCCAGCCUGGUCUACAUUCAUGAGAUGAAUGGUGGUGACUUUGGCGGAAAGGUUGUACUUUGAGUUUGGGAGAUUGACGAAGGGGUCACUAGCUGGCAAGGAAAAAGCAUAAACAGAGAUGUUCUGAGCACUGGGUGGGGAUCUCUGGGGAGCACAAUGGGGAAGGCUGUAUAGGUACUGGUAACCUCUGACCACAGUCAGGGGAGUCAGCAGUGGAGAGAGGUAUUGCCAUACACAAAACCCCUGUUUGUGCUGUGGCUGUGUGGGGUGCAUGCCAGAGCACAGAGAGUUUGGUGUGUGACUUGUAGAGUCUGUGGCAAGAAUGAAUAAAUUAGUGCUUGUCCAGACUCACAUUUUUUUGUUGACAGUACAUAACACCACAGCUGCUUUGUCAGCAUCAGUGCUGAUUCAUGGAAAAGCAGCUAAUGCCUGCAUCUUCCAUAGCUCCAGCCAUGUGAGCAGGUUAACAGGGGCUGGUGGCAGCAUCAGAUGUGCUUUGUUGCUGGUUGUUUCUCUAUGACUCCUGCUUAACCCUGAUGGUUUACGGAGCCACUCAUGGGCAGUCUCCCUGAGUGUUUGGUUUUUGUGUCUGCAGCUGCAGUGUGCUGGAAGAGACAGGGAGUCCCUCAGGGUCAUAGCAGAGUUUGAUCUGCGGUGCGUGGAAAAGAUCUGUUGUGUCUGUGCUUCUGAGAGGCCAGGAAGGAGCAGAUGGUUUUUGGAUGGGACCAAAGUACCUGAGGGGAACCUGUUGGGCGAGUGUCAGCACCAGCUGCAGCCACUUCCCUUGCUUGCCAGUGCUGGGAAGGUAGUCCAUGGGGUAGCCUAUACUUCCUUUCUUUUCUCACUGUAUUUCCUGUUCUUGCCUGGUAGUUUUGCUCAUAACACUACCUUACCCAACCUUUUUUGAAUCAGCAGUCCCAGUUAUAGUUAGAUCUUUCUUAUAUCCUGUAUCCUGGCUGGCUCUGCAGAGCUGAGAGUCCAGGGUUUGAUGUGCAGAGACUGGUGAGGCUGCACCUCAAAUACUGUGUUCGGUUCUGCACCCCUCACUACCAGAGAGACACUGAGGUGCUGGAGCGGGUCAGGAGAAGGGCAGUGAAGCUGUUGAAGGAUCUGGAGCACAAAUCUGAUGAGGAGCAGCUGAAGGAAGUGGGGCUGUUUAGUCUGGAGAACAGAGGGCUCAGAGGAGACCUUAUCACUCUCUACAACUGCCUGAAAGCAGGUUGAAGUGAGGUGGGGUUGGUCCCUUCUCCCAAGUAACAAGCAAUAGGACAAGAGGUAACAGCCUCAAGCUGCACCAGGGGAGGUUUAGAUUGGAUAU
Molecule: long non-coding RNA, 2080 nt
Organism: Pezoporus occidentalis (night parrot)
Lineage: Eukaryota; Metazoa; Chordata; Aves; Psittaciformes; Psittacidae
Exons: 2
Source: RefSeq, a predicted model, not a curated record